GGGGUUAUAGCUCAGUUGGUAGAGUGUUUGCCUAAGCAUGCACAAGGCCCCGGGUUCAAUCCCCAGUACCACCA
Molecule: non-coding RNA, 74 nt
Organism: Ictidomys tridecemlineatus (thirteen-lined ground squirrel)
Lineage: Eukaryota; Metazoa; Chordata; Mammalia; Rodentia; Sciuridae
Source: Rfam